RNAcentral lists this transfer RNA (75 nucleotides) under Thermoplasmata archaeon. RNAcentral's name for it is "tRNA-Arg". It matches the Rfam family "tRNA". From Rfam's summary of the family: Transfer RNA (tRNA) molecules are approximately 80 nucleotides in length. Their secondary structure includes four short double-helical elements and three loops (D, anti-codon, and T loops). The record is from RNAcentral. Lineage: Archaea; Methanobacteriati; Thermoplasmatota; Thermoplasmata.
GGGCGCAUGGCCUAGCAUGGAUAGGGCGGCAGCCUCCUAAGCUGUAGGUCGGGGGUCCAAAUCCCCCUGCGCCCG